Polyodon spathula (Mississippi paddlefish) is the source of this 76-nucleotide small nucleolar RNA. RefSeq annotates it as small nucleolar RNA SNORD19. Lineage: Eukaryota; Metazoa; Chordata; Actinopteri; Acipenseriformes; Polyodontidae. The transcript has a single exon. The record is from RefSeq and is a predicted model, not a curated record.
GAGAAAUGAGGAAAAUUUAAUUGAGUCUUGAGUUACCAGUGACGACUUCAGAUCCAACUCCGAUCUCACUCCAGCA